Perognathus longimembris pacificus (Pacific pocket mouse) is the source of this 165-nucleotide long non-coding RNA. RefSeq lists it as uncharacterized. The transcript is spliced from 2 exons. The record is from RefSeq and is a predicted model, not a curated record. Lineage: Eukaryota; Metazoa; Chordata; Mammalia; Rodentia; Heteromyidae.
AGGACCGCAUUUGCCUAAUUAUACAACGUCACUGCCUCUGCUCUGAUUGGCUGGAUCCAGUCUCUGAGGAUGAUAUUCCUUGCAUGUCUGUCCACAUGAUUCUCGCUGCGAGGGGUACCACAGGAUGGACUCCAGCCAGAACAAACGUGAAUCCGUAGUGGUGAG